This 399-nucleotide ribosomal RNA is filed under the name Triticum aestivum (bread wheat). RNAcentral describes it as "partial small subunit ribosomal RNA". The record is from RNAcentral. Lineage: Eukaryota; Viridiplantae; Streptophyta; Magnoliopsida; Poales; Poaceae.
AUGGAGCUUCGGUGGGGGGGCGCCGAUGUUGCGAUGAACCUUCGUCUAGGCCGUCCAGUGCUGCAAUGGAGCUUCACCGGAGGUCCACCAGUGCUGCAAUGGAGCUUCGCUGGUGGCCGCCGGGGUUGCGAUGAAGCAGCAUCGAAGCGGCUUGUGUUUCAAUGGAGCAUCGCCGGUAGCGUCGGGAGCUGCGAUGGAGCGCCGUCGCGCCGAUGUUGUCGCUACAGUGAAGCAACGCCGCCGGCUCCCCGGGCUCCGGUGCAGCUCUCGCUGGCGGCUCCGGGUGAUUCAAGAUUGAAGGAGAGAAGGGAGGCUGAUGUGCGAUACGAGGAGAUCGUUCGUGCGUUGACAAUUCAAACUGGCUAUGGGAAGAAGGAUCCGAUGGUGUUGUGGGACUGA